GGGCCCGCACAAGCGGUGGAGCAUGUGGUUUAAUUCGAAGCAACGCGCAGAACCUUACCAGCCCUUGACAUCCUAGGACCACCUCAGAGAUGAGGCUUUCCCUUCGGGGACCUAGUGACAGGUGCUGCAUGGCUGUCGUCAGCUCGUGCUGUGAGGUGUUCGGUUAAGUCCGGCAACGAGCGCAACCCCUGUCGCUAGUUACCAGCAUUUAGUUGGGGACUCUAGCGAGACUGCCGGUGAUAAACCGGAGGAAGGUGGGGACGACGUCAAGUCCUCAUGGCCCUUAUGGGCUGGGCUACACACGUGCUACAAUGGCAGUGACAGAGGGACGCUACCAGGUGACUGGAUGCAAA
RNAcentral lists this ribosomal RNA (353 nucleotides) under uncultured bacterium. RNAcentral's name for it is "bacterial SSU rRNA". It matches the Rfam family "Bacterial small subunit ribosomal RNA", at positions 917 to 1271 of the family's 1533-position model. The record is from RNAcentral.